Molecule: ribosomal RNA, 253 nt
Filed under: uncultured bacterium
Lineage: Bacteria
Description: partial 16S ribosomal RNA
Rfam family: Bacterial small subunit ribosomal RNA
Source: RNAcentral
UACGGGGGGGGCAAGCGUUGUUCGGAAUUACUGGGCGUAAAGGGCUCGUAGGCGGCCAACUAAGUCAGACGUGAAAUCCCUCGGCUUAACCGGGGAACUGCGUCUGAUACUGGAUGGCUUGAAUCCGGGAGAGGGAUGCGGAAUUCCAGGUGUAGCGGUGAAAUGCGUAGAUAUCUGGAGGAACACCGGUGGCGAAGGCGGCAUCCUGGACCAAUAUUGACGCUGAGGAGCGAAAGCUAGGGGAGCAAGCGGG